Tripterygium wilfordii is the source of this 1292-nucleotide long non-coding RNA. RefSeq lists it as uncharacterized. NCBI's taxonomy places the organism in Eukaryota, Viridiplantae, Streptophyta, Magnoliopsida, Celastrales, Celastraceae. The record is from RefSeq and is a predicted model, not a curated record. The transcript has 2 exons.
UAAGUUUGUGUCACAGUUUCGCGCAAGCUCAAGUUAUGCUAGCUCUACCCAUAUAAGAAAGCUUCCCAUCCAUGGCGUACAUGUUACUGUAUGAACUGAGAUAGCAAGUUGUAAAGUUAAUUAUAGAGGAUUAUGCUUUUCGGAAUCUGCAACGGGCUUGUUUUGAAGGGAACCCAUUUAAGACUAUUCCAGGACCAUUCAAACUAUUCUGGCAAUGCAUGCGAUCUAAGCCUGGGUAUGUUCCAAUCCUUUAUGGUUUGAUUUAGUUUAUUUCUCCAAUAAGUUAUAGGAAUUUUCUUGGCUUGAACGAUUUGCAUUAGGAAGAGUUGCCUUUUUUUGUUGAAAAGUUUUGGAAAGAAGGUUAAGUAACAUUAUUAAAUUAUCGUGAAUUCUUGCUGCUAAUGAGGAUACAAAAAUUACAUAAAAUUAACCAAAGUUGCCUUGUUUAUCUUUUUUCGAACUCUUUCCUUUCUCCUGCUUGCUAGGGCAUGAAUCCUUCUGUGGCAAAUAAAAUUGGCAUGGUCUGUUGGAUGUCCAAACCAAUCCUGUUCAUCCUUUCUUGCCCUUGCUACUACCAACAAAUUGGAUAUCAUACCAAUUUUGGUAGACCAAGCAGUGGCCUUUCCAGACGGUGGCAUCAGCCCAUGCAAAAUCCCCAAAACACCAAGAAGGUACGGCGAAUAAGUCAUCAGCAUCUUAUCAGAAGCCUUGCCUGACCCUUUCACCUCUGCUAAUACAGCAGCCUGAGAGAAAAAUUUAAACUUCAGAUAAGCCAAGUUGCUACAAGAAACAUUUCAGUGUCCUAAUACAGAAGUUUGAUAUGUUCAUCUCUUUUCAAAUUCUUUUCUUACACCUUGUUGCUAGGGUAUGAAAUCUGUUGCAAUUAAAAUCGGCAUGGUCUGUUCUUUGAGUGUCUUCUUUCUAAAAAGUGCAUAGGAACUUCUUGGUUUUCUACGAAUGGAUCACUUAUACAUUAGGUAUUUGUAGCUGCUGCUUGUUUGUAAACUCUCUCUCUCGUUGUGCUGGGAGGAGCCAACAAAGCCGUUCUACUAUCUGCAGUUUGAUCCUCCAAAGAGAGAGGUGAAACUUGAAUGACUCAACUUCCUUGAUGCUUUUAGGACUUCUCUUUUUUCCUUUUCUGGAUCGUCAUGAUCUUUAGUUUUGGUUUUAUGCCACUAUAACAUUGUUCGGUUUUGCACACUGCUUUUAUUCUGUCCUUUGUAGCAAAUCGGCAUCGUUUGCGGUAGGGGUCAGCUUAUAAUCAUUAAAAAAAAGGGCUUAAUUGGGCCUUA